Molecule: long non-coding RNA, 335 nt
Filed under: Vigna radiata
Lineage: Eukaryota; Viridiplantae; Streptophyta; Magnoliopsida; Fabales; Fabaceae
Description: long non-coding RNA (VRAD_LNC015282)
Source: RNAcentral
GGCAAUUCACCAAACACUUGGUGGGUAGUGAAGGUUUAGGGGAGAGUGGUGUUUAUGGGAGUUAGGGUUGGUGCACAAGAAUGAGGGAGUGCGUUAGGAAAAAUUUGGGUUUGGGGAAAAAAAAGGAAUUGGUGAAUGGAAAGGGGAACGUGUUGAAUUUGGGGGAGGAGUUAGUGAACUUUGAAUGGUGAGAGUUGAUUGGAAAGAAGAGGAGAAUGAGUGGUUGCAGAGGAGUGGGGUUGUUUUGAGAGGGAGAUGGUGUUUGAGUGAGAGGGAGAGAUGGGUUUGAGAGAAUGAGGGAGUUUGAGUGAGAGGGAGAGAGUGGGGUUGAGAGA